Non-coding RNA from Danio rerio (zebrafish), 73 nucleotides. Lineage: Eukaryota; Metazoa; Chordata; Actinopteri; Cypriniformes; Danionidae. The record is from Rfam.
GGCCCAGUGGCCUAAUGGAUAAGGUAUCACUCUUUGAAGUUGGGGAUUGUGGAUUCAAGUCCUGUUUGGGUUG